GUGAGCAAGAAAUGUAUCUCAUUUAUCCCUGUGUGGUCCACAGCUCCCAGCGCAGGCUCUGGCACAGAGUGGCUGAAUGUUAGGAUUCGAAAGAAAGAAAAGAAGAGCCGCAAUGGCCAAUGCAGCGAGUGAGUCCAAAAGGAACAUGGGCGCAAAAGAGAAAAGACGAAAAUGUGCUCUUUUU
Molecule: long non-coding RNA, 184 nt
Organism: Rhinolophus ferrumequinum (greater horseshoe bat)
Lineage: Eukaryota; Metazoa; Chordata; Mammalia; Chiroptera; Rhinolophidae
Exons: 2
Source: RefSeq, a predicted model, not a curated record